Molecule: ribosomal RNA, 599 nt
Filed under: uncultured bacterium
Lineage: Bacteria
Description: bacterial SSU rRNA
Rfam family: Bacterial small subunit ribosomal RNA
Source: RNAcentral
AGAGUUUGAUCCUGGCUCAGAACUAACGCUGGCGGCGUGCCUAACACAUGCAAGUCGCGCGGUCGCCAUUUUGUAGCAAUACAGAAGAAGCGAUAGCGGCAGACGGGUGAGUAACACGUAACCAAUCUACCUUACCGUCCGGGAUAACUAACCGAAAGGUUAGCUAAUACCUGAUGCGACUAUCGAGCGGCAUCGUUUGAUAGUGAAAGCAGUAAUGCGCGGUUCGAGGAGGUUGCGGCCCAUUAGCCAGUUGGCGGGGUAACGGCCCACCAAAGCAACGAUGGGUAGCUGGUCUGAGAGGACGACCAGCCACACUGGGACUGAGACACGGCCCAGACUCCUACGGGAGGCAGCAGUGAGGAAUUUUCCGCAAUGGGCGCAAGCCUGACGGAGCGACGCCGCGUGCACGAGGAAGGUCUUCGGAUCGUAAAGUGCUGUCGAGGGGGACGAUUAUGACGGUACCCCUGGAGGAAGCCCCGGCUAACUACGUGCCAGCAGCCGCGGUAAUACGUAGGGGGCAAGCGUUGUUCGGAAUUACUGGGCGUAAGGGGUGCGUAGGCGGGUCUGUAAGUCGGGGUUGAAAUAUCCGGGCUCAACUC